CCCUGACACUCCCUCCCCCACACGCGAGCACAAGAGUCCUGGCAGCUUGGGACCGCAGCUCAGGCGUACCGUACCAGCUCUGCCAUUCAGCCUGCAGCUGGCUCGACUGAACGUUUCUCCUUAUUGGGAAGGCAAACAGAAAGGCUGCUGAGGAAGGGGGAAGGGAGAAGGGAGCCGCUGCCCACCCUCCUCCCGUGAGAGGCGAGACGACCCGCGGGAAGCUCUCACUGCUGCGGCACCGUUCGCGGCAACCAAGAAGCACAUGGGGAAGGAUGAUCCAGUUGACUGAACACCUAGAGUUUCAAAAUGGAUGUGGCAAGAUCUCCUACCAGGAGUUCUUCAAGACUUUAAGCACUUUUGAAGCACUCUAGAAACCGAUAGUUCAAGACAUGUAAUUGGGUCAGCAAUCAAACUGGGAUCCUGUGCAUGGCAGCAGUAACUGUGUAUUUCUCAAACUGAAUAUGAGCUUUCAUUUCUUCAACUAUAAAGUACUUUCAUACAAGCAUUUGAUAGCCAACCUUUUACUAUUAAAAAAGUUAGAAAAACCUACAUCUAUUCUCACA
Long non-coding RNA from Aquila chrysaetos chrysaetos, 563 nucleotides. RefSeq lists it as uncharacterized. The transcript is spliced from 3 exons. The record is from RefSeq and is a predicted model, not a curated record. NCBI's taxonomy places the organism in Eukaryota, Metazoa, Chordata, Aves, Accipitriformes, Accipitridae.